CCCUCGGUAGCUCAAUGGUAGAGCGUUGGGAAUGGGAAUGCAUUUCAAGAUGGCAUUUAACCUAGUAUUAAGAUCCUCCCCUUCCCAGAGGUUGCUGGUUCAAGUCCAGUCUGAGGGA
Molecule: transfer RNA, 118 nt
Filed under: Orchesella cincta
Lineage: Eukaryota; Metazoa; Arthropoda; Collembola; Entomobryomorpha; Orchesellidae
Rfam family: tRNA
About the family: Transfer RNA (tRNA) molecules are approximately 80 nucleotides in length. Their secondary structure includes four short double-helical elements and three loops (D, anti-codon, and T loops). Further hydrogen bonds mediate the characteristic L-shaped molecular structure. tRNAs have two regions of fundamental functional importance: the anti-codon, which is responsible for specific mRNA codon recognition, and the 3' end, to which the tRNAs corresponding amino acid is attached (by aminoacyl-tRNA synthetases). tRNAs cope with the degeneracy of the genetic code in two manners: having more than one tRNA (with a specific anti-codon) for a particular amino acid; and 'wobble' base-pairing, i.e. permitting non-standard base-pairing at the 3rd anti-codon position.
Source: Rfam by way of RNAcentral